Long non-coding RNA from Suricata suricatta (meerkat), 3302 nucleotides. RefSeq lists it as uncharacterized. The transcript is spliced from 5 exons. NCBI's taxonomy places the organism in Eukaryota, Metazoa, Chordata, Mammalia, Carnivora, Herpestidae. The record is from RefSeq and is a predicted model, not a curated record.
GGGUGGUGGUCCUGCACGGGAACCGGUCUGGAGAGCGGCCCCAGAGGGGACUAGACCCGAAGCAAGGGAACGGUCCUUAGCAGGGAAUCUGGGGGGUCGGUUUUUGCGGGGGUGGGGCCUGGGAGGAAGCGGAGACCGAGGGACCCGCAGUGCCCACCCGGGCCUCCAGCGUCCGGCUCGGGCCUCCCGCACCCUGCCCGCGCGCGAGUGUUCAGGCCCACGCCUCUGCUCCCUGGGGUUGGCCCGGAGCCCGGCCUCUGAGAGCGGGAAGCAGUCUAUGGACAAGUCGGUGUUGUCAGCGAAGAUCCUCGGGACCGGGGUCACGCAGUGGGGGGCCGGGUGCUCGCUCAGGACCUGCGGGACCCGCCGGGAGGGGCGCAGUGGUCACCUCCAGCCUACGGGGCUCUCCGCCCACCCCAUCCCCUGCUGAGACGCACCCUGACCUCGCCCUUGGGGUUCAGGAGGAGAGUCACACAUCCCCGGCUGGAGUGGAAGUGGACGGGCUCCCGGCCCGAGGAUGACGGUGGCGGCUGCUUGGUGCUGGCAGGCCCCUCGCCCCAAACCUGGUGGACAAUGCGGGCGGGAGGUGAGGGGCGGUGGGGGCCGGAGCAGAGGCCACAAGGGCUCGCGGGGAGCGGGGCGCACCGUAACGUGGCGCCGGGGCUCCAGCCGCGUGCCGGGCGGGAAGCGGUACAUGCACACCGGAAAGCCGUGCAGGAGCUGACGCAGAGUGAGGCCGCCCAGGUUGGCAGUCUCCUCUAGCGACUGAUUGAGGAUGCGCACGUAUCUCUCCUUGCUGCUCACGGCCACAAUCUUCAGGCAGGAGCUUGGUGGGCUGGGCGGGGUAGCAGGGAUGGUAGAGGCACUGCAGAGAGGCUUGGGCACCUCUCUCCCGGGGUCCUGCUAGGAGGCCACCCCUGCUGUGACUCCCCCCCUACCCCCGUGUCACCCCCUCACCUCCCAUGGAGGUGCUGUCUGCGAUGCCCGAGCUCUGAUUCUACACAAAACUCCCUUGUCAGGACCACCUUACUAGGCCGGUUCCAGGGAUCCAGGGGGAGACCUGUGGGAAAGGAGACCCCCAUAUGGAGCAUCCUCUGGUGACAUCUAAUGCGAGGUCAGACUGACCUGCAGCGCUCUGAGGAUGCACGUGGGAGAGGAACAGCUCCAGGGCUCCGACCCAGAGCAGGAGGGACGGCCCUGGAGGCUAAGGGAAGAAGAGAUGGACAGCUCCAAGUACUGGGGUGGGGGUGGCAGGGAGGGGGCCAGAGUGCACCACGAGUCACCCAAGGCCACCUGAGGCCAUCCUAACCCCUAGGGAUGAGGCAAGGGAGCCCCCAGAGGCCUUGUGCGGAACUGUUGUCAAGACCAAGCUGCUGGUGCAGGUUGUUCAGGGCUUUGGGGAGAGAUCCCAGCCUCGCGGGGGAUGGGGGGGCAACCGGAGGAGACCCUCUGCACCCCACCUUCAGGCUGUGCCUGCAUUUCGCUGCGGAGGCUCCGCCAGUGGGGUUCUGUCAGCUCAGAACCUCGGCCUGGAGUGCAGGGCGGGCGUCUCGUCACCUUCCGCAUGGGGUAAGGCGCAGCUGGCCGGCCGCUGCUGGAGUCAGAGCCCGUGCCCCCUGAGCUGCUGGUGUCCACAAAGGGCAGGGAACUCCACUCCACACUCUUGAGAUGCCGUUCCACGUGCUCUCCAUGCAGCUCUGAGCCCCACUGGUCAGACGUGGGCCUGUGGGGAUGGCAGGGCCCGGUGGUGCCUAUGGGACAGUCUGCUGAUCUGCUUGCUGCCUACUGGAUUUGGCUUCUGGACUCCAGCCCUGCCCCCAACUAACCUCCCCAGGGUGGGUAGGGUACCCUGAGUUGUGGUUCCAGUCCCUGGGACCCAGCCUGGGAAAAAGGCUCAAAGAUGGACUGUGUUGGCUCAGGAGCCCUUUCCUUUGCCCCUUCCCCUCGUCCUGUAGAUCAGAGAAUUGACCUUGGAAGGUGUAAGUGACUUGUCCAGGGACACUAAGGGUAGAUCUUGGAUUCCAGUGUAUACAUGCCAAAGCAUGCCCUCUCCCCCCUUCACCCCUGCAGGGGUCCCUGACCAGCACAGUUACUUUUGAUCUGAGUUGGACUUAAUGUUGCUGAGGAGGCUGGGAGCCCGCUGGGCAAUGUUGUUCCAGUCUGCAUCCUUCGGCUGAAAACCCUGGCCAGAAAGCAACAGGAAUGUGGCCCUCCCCUCCCACAGGGCCGCAGAGCCAUGAAAGCACAUGGGGGCCUUGCUUACCUCCUUAGUAGAGGGGACCUGAUCAUUCUCAGAGAGGUCACUGGAGUCCAUCAGAGUUUCUGCAGUUACCACCUACAGAAGGGGAGUGGAGGCCAGCAGGCAGGAGCUGGGAGACUCUCCCCUUUGACCUCACCAGCACUGGAGGCACACGUUUGCUGUGCAUCAGCUCCAGAGUCAGCUUUUGCACCUGGUUCUGCAGGAACUUUUCCUGACUGCAUGAGCUCCUGGGGGAAAGGGCCAUCUCAGCAGCCCCCACCUCGAGGUCAGCAGCCAAAGAAGAGAGAAGGAGGGACUCUCUUCACUGACAUCGGGAGCAUAAGGGCACAGAGUUCCACUGGACCAGGCCAGGUUGAUGGAGAAGACCGCCGGCGUGGAGCUGGGCUUGGUGUCCGGCAGGCAUGCAGGAGCCACUGGGUCUUUAGGUGUGUCAGCUGGAGGUUCAGGAUGCCCACUGACCAGUUCUUGGUCCACCAGCGAUAAGGGAGCCUCUUUCUUGGCCUUUUCAGGCUCUUGGCAAGGUUCAGGGGCCAUUCUUGAUGUUCCUGGGGGAGCUGAGAUGGGCAGUUUGGCUGUGAUCCUUCUGUCCUACGUGUAGGUACCCCAUGGGACGCUCCUUCUGUGGCCACAAGUGUGUGCCUGUGUCUGACAGCCCUAGCCAGGACCACUCCAAGAACGCACGGGCAUGCUUUCCCCGCAGGACCCCAGAUUGCCAGGCACAUGUGUGUCCGUAUCUGUGUGUUUCGGACCAGGACAGGGCAGCAGAUCUCCCCGCCAGGCAACAUAUCACUGGGGACUGCCAGCAUGGCCGCAGCGGCCCUCCAGCUCCACUUCCCUCCCACGGGGACUCAAGACUCCCCGACCCCUGUGCGUCCCCCCCUCCCCCACGACGCGCCCUGGGGGAGCGAGGUAAGACAUUCAUCAGACUCGAAGGCUUCUGAGGAGGUCGGCCCGGGAGCGGAGCCAGACACCUGUCCCACGCACCGCCUGCGAGCCAGGUACGCGCUUCCGCGUAGUUCGCGGUCCUCUGGCGUGCGUGGAC